CCAUUUACUUUUCACAAGUUUGGAGAGCCCCAAAAAUUUUCCCCAUAGUGUUUCCAAUCUUCAGAUCUAGAAUUCAAAAUUCAAAUUCCAAAAAAAUAAAAAAUAGAAAAUCCCAGAAAAUCUCCAAAAAUCAAAAGUAGUGAAAAAAAUCUGAUAAAAAAUCAAAAAAUUACUGUUCCAUUAGAAUUUCAGUUUAAUUUCAAGUUAUUGAAGUAUUUUGGCUUUCAUUUUUGUAGUUCAGGAUCUAAUAUUGGAGUUCCUAGAUCAAUACUUAGAAGUAUGAAAUUUUCAGAGGUGUGAUUGAUUGAUUUUGAAUGAAUUUUGGGUUCAAGCAAGACUGUUUUAGGCUGUUUUAUUAUCUGAUGAUUUCAGAAUUGGUUCUGAUUUAGUUUUGAUGUGUGUCUGGGUGUUUUGAGUUAGUUUGAAGAUCAGUCAAGCUGGUCUGGUUGAGUUUGAGGUGUAUUGAAAGCUUCAACGAUAUUCUGGGUUCAUUUUUUCAGUUUGUUUGGUCUAUUUUGAUACUGUGAUUUCUUCGAAUCAAUUUUGGGUUGGUUUUUGAUAAUACUCGCUGGGUUAUGAACGAGAUUCUGUGAUUUCCUGACUACUGACUCAUUGUUGAUUGAUCCUCACUCAUCCUGCACUCUAUUUUCCAGGUACUCAUUUGGACCUCUGCUGUAAUUUCGAGUUCGAAACAUGGAAUGAAACUGCCCUUCUGCUUAUUCUACUUAAUUUUCUGUGUUUAAUUAUAGCUUAGUUCAAUAAAUAUCUGUUUGCUGGAUCCGAUUUGUAAUUAAAUUGGACUGAGUGGACUGUGCAUAUUUGGAUAUAUAGUACGUGAAGUGUAAUAUGAAUUUUACCUACUUAAACACAUGAUUCUUGUUUACUCAAUCGAGUUAUUAGAUGCUUGUGUGUCCAAGUGUUAAAUAAUUCAUGAAGAGGACUGUUAUUAUGCUUUUUUGCCUAAAAUAUGUCACCUGGAUAGUCAUCGCUAUUGAUAAUCUCAUCUGAUUUAAUUUGGAUGUUUAUAGAGUUGAAUCGAAUUGCUGUUGAGAUAAAUUUGAAGCCAUUGGUCUUACAAAGUUAGUUUGGUCACUUUUGAAAUAACUAUUGUUGUCUUUCACGGAUUUCAGAACAAAAUUGAAGGCGUUAGAGUAAGCCAACUGAAACAAGCUUUGGUAGUUUCCUGUGCUUAAGUAUAAUUAAAUAAAU
RNAcentral lists this long non-coding RNA (1209 nucleotides) under Nicotiana benthamiana. Its description in RNAcentral is "long non-coding RNA (NBEN_LNC019300)". Lineage: Eukaryota; Viridiplantae; Streptophyta; Magnoliopsida; Solanales; Solanaceae. The record is from RNAcentral.